AUGGAAUUCAUAUGUAAAACCACGUAUCUCAUUGUGGUUGAUGAUGUAUGGACAGUAGCAACAUGGGACGCAAUCAGAUCGAAAUUGCCAGACAACAACAACGGCAGCAGGAUUAUUGUGACCACUCGGCUAGAGAGUGUUGCCGAAGCAUGCAGCAAUGCUGGAUCAGGCACAAAUUGCAUUUAUUGGAUCGAGAACCUUAGUUCGCAAUACGCCAAGGAGUUGUUCCUCGGCAGAAUAUUUGGUCCUAAUCAUUCUUCUUGCCCCGACGAUCUGGAAGAUGAAAUGAACAAAAUUAUAAAGAAGUGUUGUGGGCUCCCAAUGGCCAUUAUUAGCAUUGCUGGCCUCUUGGUGAGCUAUAGAACGUCAGAGAGCAAAGAAAUGUGGGAGAGAGUUCGCAAGUCGAUUGGUACUCACAUGGAGAGCCGCCCUACCCUUGAGGGGAUGAAGCAGAUUAUUAGUCUCAGCUAUAACCACCUGCACCAUUAUCUCAAGGGUUGUAUGAUGUAUCUCAGUUUUUUUCCGGAGGAUUAUGUAAUCGUUAAGAAUCGGCUCUUGAAGAGAUGGAUCGCAGAAGGACUGGUUGCUGAGAUUCAGGGGUUGACCUUAAUGGAGGUAGCAGACGUUGGUGAGAAGGAGCAUGAUUGA
RNAcentral lists this ribosomal RNA (648 nucleotides) under Triticum aestivum (bread wheat). RNAcentral's name for it is "partial small subunit ribosomal RNA". The record is from RNAcentral. Lineage: Eukaryota; Viridiplantae; Streptophyta; Magnoliopsida; Poales; Poaceae.